CAACAAUGUUAUUGGUGGUGAUUAUAGUAAAUCCUUCAUUGUCUACCAUCUGUUAUCUACUGAAUUUGUAAUCCCUUAACAAGCAUCUAACUGGAGACACAACUCUUGCUGUAUUCUUUAAGCUCUGCGCGAUGACUCACGUUCAAGAGCUGGUUGGAAUUCUGACUUGUUUGUAAAGCCGUCAUGCUCACCGCUUCAAUGGCUGGAGUGCGUUUUGCAGGGGCAACAUGGGCUUGCGAUUCAAAAAUUAAGUAAAUAAGCUUUCAAGCUUCCAUCAAGUUAUUAAAAACCAAAUUCAACAACAUAUACUACGAAGUUCGAGAUCUGUAUACUGCACGGCUCUUCUCUUUCAUUUCAUAGAUGUUGCAUUUAUUUGUUCAAUUUAACAUAUAAAUACAAGAUAGUUAAAUACAAAUAUACUAAUAGGGUGAGAAUAAGUGUUGCCACAAAAAGAUACCAUCAUAUUGGCAGAUUUGUUGAUUACGAUGUUAGACCAAUG
Non-coding RNA from Cajanus cajan (pigeon pea), 499 nucleotides. NCBI's taxonomy places the organism in Eukaryota, Viridiplantae, Streptophyta, Magnoliopsida, Fabales, Fabaceae. The record is from RefSeq and is a predicted model, not a curated record.